RNAcentral lists this ribosomal RNA (657 nucleotides) under Rhizopus azygosporus. Its description in RNAcentral is "eukaryotic LSU rRNA". It matches the Rfam family "Eukaryotic large subunit ribosomal RNA", at positions 62 to 648 of the family's 3401-position model. The record is from RNAcentral. Lineage: Eukaryota; Fungi; Mucoromycota; Mucoromycetes; Mucorales; Rhizopodaceae.
AAAAUAACAAUGAUUUCCUUAGUAACGGCGAGUGAACAGGAAAAAGCUCAAAGUUGGAACCUGUUUGGCCUAGCUAAACCGGAUUGUAAACUGUAGAAGUGUUUUCCAGGCAAGCCGGACCGAUAAGUCCUUUGGAACAGGGCAUCAUAGAGGGUGAGAAUCCCGUCUUCGGUCUGAGCAUUUGCCUUUUGCGAUACACUUUCAAAGAGUCAGGUUGUUUGGGAAUGCAGCCUAAAUUGGGUGGUAAAUCUCACCUAAAGCUAAAUAUUGGCGAGAAACCGAUAGCGAACAAGUACCGUGAGGGAAAGAUGAAAAGAACUUUGAAAAGAGAGUUAAACAGUAUGUGAAAUUGUUAAAAGGGAACCGUUUGGAGCCAGACUGGCUUGUCUGUAAUCAGUCUAAGCUUCGGCUUGGAUGCACUUGCAGGCUAUGCCUGCCAACGACAAUUUGGCUUGAGGGAAAAAACUAAGGGAAAUGUGGCCCAUCCGUGGGUGUUAUAGUCCCUUAGAAAAUACCUUGGGCUGGAUUGAGGUACGCAGCGAAUGCUAUUUGGCGAGUUGGCUGGGAAUAUUUUCUGAGGUGCUUCUGGUACUGAGGUUGAUAUUCCUAGUUACACUUCUAUUCGCUUAGGUUGUUGGCUUAAUGACUCUAAAUGAC